GGUGCACAUUGUUAGAGCUUGGAGUUGAGGCUGUUGGCUGGCCAAUGAAUUCACAGACGUAGGUCAUGUACUGUAUGAGUGGCAAGAGUGACUGGCCCAGAGAGUGGAGUUUGAUAGUAAUCCUUGCUCCAACU
Molecule: small nucleolar RNA, 134 nt
Organism: Bison bison bison
Lineage: Eukaryota; Metazoa; Chordata; Mammalia; Artiodactyla; Bovidae
Source: Ensembl